RNAcentral lists this ribosomal RNA (253 nucleotides) under uncultured bacterium. RNAcentral's name for it is "partial 16S ribosomal RNA". It matches the Rfam family "Bacterial small subunit ribosomal RNA", at positions 524 to 776 of the family's 1533-position model. The record is from RNAcentral.
UACGUAGGUGGCGAGCGUUGUCCGGAUUUACUGGGCGUAAAGAGCGCGCAGGCGGCUGGUCAAGUCCGAUGUGAAAGCUCCCGGCUUAACUGGGAAAUUGCAUCGGAAACUGAUCGGCUGGAAGGUGGGAGAGGGUAGCGGAAUUCCCGGUGUAGUGGUGAAAUGCGUAGAUAUCGGGAGGAACACCAGUGGCGAAAGCGGCUACCUGGAACGGUACUGACGCUGAGACGCGAAAGCGUGGGGAGCGAACAGG